Molecule: long non-coding RNA, 221 nt
Filed under: Salvia miltiorrhiza (redroot sage)
Lineage: Eukaryota; Viridiplantae; Streptophyta; Magnoliopsida; Lamiales; Lamiaceae
Description: long non-coding RNA (SMIL_LNC009445)
Source: RNAcentral
ACAAGAACAUAUACAAGUGCAGAAGCUCAUAAGCUAUUGUUCCAACACCUUACCGGACAUCUAAUUCAAAACAUACCUUGAGUGGGAGACUCGUGUGCCUAACAUUCAUUGAGGGGGAGACUCGUUUGUUAGGGCUAGUUGAUAGGUUUGUAUGUUUGGUUUUUCAUAGAAUAGCUUCAUUAAAGUCUAGUUGUUGCUAGCAUUAUUGAUAGGAUUAGAAA